AGAAGCACGAAGGAUGACGAGGGUACACGGCCGAGAGACAUUUCGGUAAGAAUAAAAGAGAAAGGAAAUCACUGGAAGGGAUAACAAAAAGUCACGUCGAUGGGAGAAGGAAGGGAAGGACGGGGCAGCGGUAAAAUGCAGCGUAAGUGCUCGCGAAGGACAGAAAUAUGAAAAGCGAAGGAAAGAAGGAUCAAAAUUCUGUCUGUCGACGUCAUCGAGAAAGCUCGAAGAGGAUAUAGAAGAGGAAGAAGAAGAAGAAGAAGAAGAAGAAGACGACGAUAAGAAGAAUAAAUAGAGAAUAAAAAAGAUGAAACGGUUGGUUUAGGAAGAUGGAAAAGUGCGGAUUAAGUGGCAGGAGUAAGGAAGUAAAGGCAAGUGCGACAAGUGUUCGACGCACGCGCGACCUACGAGCGGAGACACGCUGAUCGAUCCCUAAAGAGACCUCGAGUGUGAUGUCAUCGGCAAGCCGGAUCUGUUCCAGGCUUAAGCGAUGUGUCAACUUGCUGAUUGAACGCUAUUUGUCGAUGAAUAAAGCAAAAAAAAAAAAAAACGAAAAAAAGCAAGUGUCUCAAGGACAAUAAGAAUUAACGAUGAAAGACGCGCCGAUCAUCUCUGGAGCUACUGGAAGAAUAAUCGCUGAAAAGAAAGAAACGAAUAUAUGUAUCCGAAACGAGUAAACAUAAUUUGUAAAGUGUUAUAUUAUUAAAGUUUCUAUUUUCUUCGACGUAAAUAAUGAAAUCAAUCAAUAGAAGGAUUUUUGAUUAAUAAACGAUUUGCAGUUACGUUUUCCGCACACUUCUUUCACGCUUACUUCGUCUAACGCUUCGAAAAUAUAGUCACACGUGCGCCAAGUGAAUAAUAAUUGAGUUUGCCGUUGUGUUCUUACGGGUUGCCUAUUCGCAGGAAUCAAAUCGAAGUUUUCCAUUUCUUUCCACGCGUCGCAUAUACGGUUUUCUUUUCGAACUAAUCGUUAUUAGAUUUCUUUACGUGCUUGUCACAUAUCGAAUCGAAAGACGAAUUAAGAUCAUGAAAGAAUAUUCGAUUGUACGAAAGGAGUGGAUCAUGCUGCUUAGGCCAUGUUUAUUGGUGCUGUGUUUUUGUACGAGUACAUCAAGUUUUAUAGUCAUACUCUAUAACGAUGAUUUUCUUUAUAAUUCUUAUUUUUUUUUGUUCUCUACACACUGUAGAUUACACAGAAUAUAUAUCGUUAGACGUACAUACGUGAGCACAAAAUACUUUUCAUACAUAUAAGUAUAGUUCUCCGAAUCGUCCACUCGAUCGAUAUUUGUAAUAUACUUGCCGUCUAAUAGAUACGCGAGUGUUACUUUUGAAAAAUAAGACGAAGAAAAAUGUUUAUAAUAGCGUAACUCGUAUCGAGAAUAUUCGAAGAAAGGUCGAAACCUACUUUACUUCCUCGAUUUUUAUUUAUACAAUAAAAGGUUUCUCUUCUCUUAAAUCACCAAAGUUUCCGUCCGUCGAUCUCUAUUACAAUUUUUUUUUUAGGCACGACCGUAGUUCAUUACGCACAGUGAAAAGUAUAACGGACGAUUAUCCGUGAACUACUCGAGAUAACCAAAAACCUCUUUGAUUCUCUACGUUUUAUAUCAAAACUUUAUUAUAUAUAUAUAUAGAUGUGUGUGCGUGUAUGCGCGUCUGUUUAUCCACUCAAUCAUAAACGGUUGGAUAUAUUGACUUGGAAUUCAAACCAAAAAUAAAAUUACUUACAACGAAGAUUAAUAAGCAAUUUCUCAUCGAUCAGACUUACGGUUUUAAAGUGACAGUAUCUUGAAAAAUUAAAGCAUUCAUAAAAAACGACACGUACGACAAACACGAUUCAAAUUUUGCAGAAAUAUUUAAUACGGUAUCGGGUAUAACCAUAAAUUUUGCUGAAAUUUUGUAGACUUAACGAAAGAUCUUCAUCUAUCUUUUAAUUUUUCAUCAAAGUUUAUAUAUAUUUGUCCGCAUACAUAUGUCAGUUUUAUAUACGUUCUAAAUGUUUGAACAGACUGAUUUGAAAUUUAUACAAAAAAUCCAAUUACGCGCUACGACGUGUAAUAUAUAGGUUCGAUUUAACUUUUAGUUUUAAAACGGUAGUCAUUUUAAAAAUUAAAACGUAUAUAAAAAGUCUCUAAAAAUCGGAAUCGAAUUGAGAUAAAUAAAAAUUUGAUAGAAAUAUUUAAACUGCUACAAGUCAUUAAAGUGAACUACAUCGGUCGUGCCUAUUCUGUGUUCCAUGAUUUUGUCAUGCACACAUCAACACACGCAUACAUAAGCUAAAAAGAUAUUUCGAACGAAACGGAGUGCAAGAUAAAGUCGUACAAGGUGGUCGUGUUCUUUCCAAUAAUUAUAAGUAGGAAAGUUAUCGAUUAUACAAAAAAUUUAUCUUUGGCAAUAGAGGGUAACGUAUGUCAUAUAUAUAUAUCUAUAUAUAUAUGUGUGUGUGUGUGUAUUCCUUAUUUCCUUCGGCGCGAGGUACAAACGAACGAUUUUUUUGUGAAAAGACGAAUAUAAGUUAAUAGGCCAGCAUUAGACGCACACUCUCAAUUCAUUGAGCUCAAAACGAAGCUUUACGAUUCACAGAGGCGGGAUCGCACAGUCUUUUAUUUAUUUUUACGUUAUCCGUUUAUUCGUUUUAUUUAUUUGAUGUCCGUUUUAUGGAAUAUUCGUUUUUUAUUUUUUAGCAGGAAAUAUUUCAAGAAUUGGUGCGAAAAUAUUAUUCACAUUUAUGCACACGCAACGUUAAUUGUAGAUCUAAAAAUUACAAAUAAAUUUGUGUCUUGAAGUCGUCCGACAGAUUUAUACGAUAUAUCUAUACGUUUCGAUGACACAAUAUAACGAAUGCAUUAGAUAGAAUUGAUUAAUGCCGCGAGCUCGUCUUUUAAAGCUUCGUCUUGGUAAAUGCAUUCAAUGUGUACGGCCCUCUCUGGAAUAGGCAGGUACUGUAUUAUGUUUCAUUUGAAUUCAUCGAUCCUCAAUCGAUUCGAUAGGAAUCAGAUAAUCGAACUAUGUGCUUCUCUCGACGAUCCUCUUUCUUCGCGACUACAGUUCGCUAAUUACAUCGUAUCGUUAGUUAAAUUCUUUUCACCUUAGAAGAGCUAAAGUAAACGUUUCAUGUUUUUUUUGUAUUAAACGUUACGAUCUUACGACAUAUCUAGCUAAAGGCGGAUUGAAUUUCUCGUAGCAAAGACCACGAACGAUCAGAUUCAAUGACGAGUUCAAAAUUGGCAAUUGAAAUGUACAUGACAUAACAAAUAAUAAAAUGUAUGCAUAACCGGGCGAAAGAAAUAUAUUUUUUUCAAAAACUUCAUCCAAGAAACUUCAACACGAACGAAAACGAAUGCUGGAAGUUUAAAUGCGAUCGUCCUCGAUCAAAUUCUUCGUGCGCACACUUUAAUUUAAGAACGUGUUCGUCACGACCGAACGUAGCUCAUGUAACGAAUCGCGAAACAUGCAUCCCACCGAACAGAUGCUCGAUGAUCCAGAUCUUUCAUUACUAUAUUACUAAAUUACUUUCAUGUGUUUCGAGUCGCGAUGUUCCAUCGGAUGUUACGCUGUCGGAAAUCGCUGGAUUUCUUUUUUUUUGUUUUUAUUUUCUAAUCGGUAAAUAUCUCUAUCUACUUUUUUGUAUUUUUUUCUCUUGCUGUUCUAAUAUCCCACAGAAAACUAGAGCGUCCGUUCAUGAAUCUUAACUUUAGUGAAAAAAGAUAUACUUCUAUGUCGUCGAAAGAACGUAGGCCCGUUUAUUUAUGGAUUCUCGUAAAACUGUUUUGUCGUAUCGAGUACUAUAAAAAACCAGUCGGUGUGAUUAAUAUCUCAAAGAAAAAGGAAUUGGUAGACUUGAUGUAGGUUGCACGAAGUCCUUAAGAGGGACACAAGCUCACAAUCAAAAUGGAAAUUCACGAACGAAUGAAUUCUACGUAACCCGUGAUUAGAUUUUAUUAAAAUUAACUCGGGUUAUUGGAUCUUAGUUACGUUCUCAUGAAAUAUACAAAUUGCACGUUGCCGCGUUCUUCGUGUUUAUCCUUGAGGAUAAUCUAUGAAUCAGACCACGAGCAAAAAAUUGACAAGUGUUAUUCUUCGUCUACGGAUCAUCAACUCGCAUAAAAGUUGUCGGUGAAAAAUCGCGGAUGUACAUAAGUACAUACGUAAUUGUUAUCAUGGGGAAUCUUUUUUCUUGAUCGAGAAGGAAGAUAGAUAGAUAGACAGAUAAAGAGAAAGAAAGAGGGAGAAAGAGAGAGAGAGAGAGAGAUAGAGAUAACUAGAGAGAGAAAGAGAGGAAGAAAUCGAAAA
Vespula vulgaris is the source of this 4290-nucleotide long non-coding RNA. RefSeq lists it as uncharacterized. Lineage: Eukaryota; Metazoa; Arthropoda; Insecta; Hymenoptera; Vespidae. The transcript is spliced from 2 exons. The record is from RefSeq and is a predicted model, not a curated record.